UUUCCGUAGGUGAACCUGCGGAAGGAUCAUUCAUAAUAAGUGUUUUAUGGCACUUUUUUAAAUCCAUAUCCACCUUGUGUGCAAUGUCAGGGUUGAUUUUUCUCUCGAGAGGAUCAGCCCCAAACAUCAACUAUAUCUCAACUCUUUGUCUGAGAAAUAUUAUGAAUAAACAAUUCAAAAUACAACUUUCAACAACGGAUCUCUUGGCUCUC
Molecule: unclassified non-coding RNA, 212 nt
Filed under: plant metagenome
Description: partial contains small subunit ribosomal RNA, internal transcribed spacer 1, and 5.8S ribosomal RNA
Source: RNAcentral